Molecule: long non-coding RNA, 355 nt
Filed under: Mytilus galloprovincialis (Mediterranean mussel)
Lineage: Eukaryota; Metazoa; Mollusca; Bivalvia; Mytilida; Mytilidae
Source: RNAcentral
CCGGGCCUAGUAUAUAUAUAUCUAUUCAACACUUUUUAGUGUUUUGUUUUCCAUCUAUUUAUCGGUAUUGUUACACAAUCUUUCAGACUCAUAUAAUUUUUCCUGUUUGUGUAGUAUUGUCAAUUUUGAUGAUCCAAUACCUAUUUAGUUUACUGGUUGGUAGAUUCUUAUAGACUCUCUCUCUCUCUCUCUCUCUCUCUCUCUCUCUCUCUCUCUCUCUCUCUCUCUCUCUCUCUCUCUCUCUCUAUAUAUAUAUAUAUAGAUCAAUAUUUUGUGUUUCAAAGGUCUAUAAAAAGAUAACUUUUCAAAGUGUUUUAUCUCAGGCUAUCAUACAUGUAUAAUUUGAUAUUCAAAU